UGAAAGAGCGACGUUCAGUCGUCCCCACCCUUCAGCGCGAGAGGUCGCGUCGGCUAGCGCGUGCGCACGUCUUCUAGAUGCUGCAGAAGAUUGGGUUUUUGUGAAGCAAGCUGCUAUGUUGGAAAGAGCCAUGUGGCAAGAAACUAAGGAAGGCCUGUGGCCAACAGCCAGUAAAGUAACUGGGACCCUCAGUCCAAGAGCCUGUGAAGAAUUGAGUCCUGCAAAUAACUGCUGAAUGAUCUUGGAAGCACAUCCUGCCCCAGUUGAACCUGAAAUGCCUGUAGUCCAAGCUGACAUCUUGAUUACAGCCUCCAGAGAGACUCUGAAGCAGAGAAACCCAUCUAGUCCAUGUCUGUAUUUUGGAUGCACAAAAACUGUGACAUUAAAAUGUUUGUUUACUCAGGAA
Ictidomys tridecemlineatus (thirteen-lined ground squirrel) is the source of this 406-nucleotide non-coding RNA. Lineage: Eukaryota; Metazoa; Chordata; Mammalia; Rodentia; Sciuridae. The record is from RefSeq and is a predicted model, not a curated record.